RNAcentral lists this ribosomal RNA (1262 nucleotides) under Staphylococcus aureus. RNAcentral's name for it is "partial 23S ribosomal RNA". It matches the Rfam family "Bacterial large subunit ribosomal RNA", at positions 12 to 1275 of the family's 2925-position model. Lineage: Bacteria; Bacillati; Bacillota; Bacilli; Caryophanales; Staphylococcaceae. The record is from RNAcentral.
UAAGGGCGCACGGUGGAUGCCUUGGCACUAGAAGCCGAUGAAGGACGUUACUAACGACGAUAUGCUUUGGGGAGCUGUAAGUAAGCUUUGAUCCAGAGAUUUCCGAAUGGGGAAACCCAGCAUGAGUUAUGUCAUGUUAUCGAUAUGUGAAUACAUAGCAUAUCAGAAGGCACACCCGGAGAACUGAAACAUCUUAGUACCCGGAGGAAGAGAAAGAAAAUUCGAUUCCCUUAGUAGCGGCGAGCGAAACGGGAAGAGCCCAAACCAACAAGCUUGCUUGUUGGGGUUGUAGGACACUCUAUACGGAGUUACAAAGGACGACAUUAGACGAAUCAUCUGGAAAGAUGAAUCAAAGAAGGUAAUAAUCCUGUAGUCGAAAAUGUUGUCUCUCUUGAGUGGAUCCUGAGUACGACGGAGCACGUGAAAUUCCGUCGGAAUCUGGGAGGACCAUCUCCUAAGGCUAAAUACUCUCUAGUGACCGAUAGUGAACCAGUACCGUGAGGGAAAGGUGAAAAGCACCCCGGAAGGGGAGUGAAAUAGAACCUGAAACCGUGUGCUUACAAGUAGUCAGAGCCCGUUAAUGGGUGAUGGCGUGCCUUUUGUAGAAUGAACCGGCGAGUUACGAUUUGAUGCAAGGUUAAGCAGUAAAUGUGGAGCCGUAGCGAAAGCGAGUCUGAAUAGGGCGUUUAGUAUUUGGUCGUAGACCCGAAACCAGGUGAUCUACCCUUGGUCAGGUUGAAGUUCAGGUAACACUGAAUGGAGGACCGAACCGACUUACGUUGAAAAGUGAGCGGAUGAACUGAGGGUAGCGGAGAAAUUCCAAUCGAACCUGGAGAUAGCUGGUUCUCUCCGAAAUAGCUUUAGGGCUAGCCUCAAGUGAUGAUUAUUGGAGGUAGAGCACUGUUUGGACGAGGGGCCCCUCUCGGGUUACCGAAUUCAGACAAACUCCGAAUGCCAAUUAAUUUAACUUGGGAGUCAGAACAUGGGUGAUAAGGUCCGUGUUCGAAAGGGAAACAGCCCAGACCACCAGCUAAGGUCCCAAAAUAUAUGUUAAGUGGAAAAGGAUGUGGCGUUGCCCAGACAACUAGGAUGUUGGCUUAGAAGCAGCCAUCAUUUAAAGAGUGCGUAAUAGCUCACUAGUCGAGUGACACUGCGCCGAAAAUGUACCGGGGCUAAACAUAUUACCGAAGCUGUGGAUUGUCCUUUGGACAAUGGUAGGAGAGCGUUCUAAGGGCGUUGAAGCAUGAUCGUAAGGACAUGUG